GAUGAACGCUGGCGGCGUGCUUAACACAUGCAAGUCGAACGGUGAAGGCGGAGCUUGCUCUGCUGGAUCAGUGGCGAACGGGUGAGUAACACGUGAGCAAUCUGCCCCUGACUCUGGGAUAAGCGCUGGAAGCGGCGUCUAAUACUGGAUACGAGCUGCGAAGGCAUCUUCAGCAGCUGGAAAGAAUUUCGGUCAGGGAUGAGCUCGCGGCCUAUCAGCUUGUUGGUGAGGUAAUGGCUCACCAAGGCGUCGACGGGUAGCCGGCCUGAGAGGGUGACCGGCCACACUGGGACUGAGACACGGCCCAGACUCCUACGGGAGGCAGCAGUGGGGAAUAUUGCACAAUGGGCGAAAGCCUGAUGCAGCAACGCCGCGUGAGGGACGACGGCCUUCGGGUUGUAAACCUCUUUUAGCAGGGAAGAAGCGAAAGUGACGGUACCUGCAGAAAAAGCGCCGGCUAACUACGUG
Molecule: ribosomal RNA, 468 nt
Filed under: uncultured bacterium
Lineage: Bacteria
Description: partial 16S ribosomal RNA
Rfam family: Bacterial small subunit ribosomal RNA
Source: RNAcentral